RNAcentral lists this microRNA precursor (58 nucleotides) under Oreochromis niloticus (Nile tilapia). Its description in RNAcentral is "microRNA oni-mir-10675 precursor". The record is from miRBase by way of RNAcentral. Lineage: Eukaryota; Metazoa; Chordata; Actinopteri; Cichliformes; Cichlidae.
GAUCUUUCUUUAUUUUUGCUUACUUAUAUAAAUAAGUAAGCAAAAUAAGGAAACUGUU